Molecule: non-coding RNA, 47 nt
Filed under: Methanococcus vannielii SB
Lineage: Archaea; Methanobacteriati; Methanobacteriota; Methanococci; Methanococcales; Methanococcaceae
Description: flpD RNA
Rfam family: flpD RNA
Source: RNAcentral
UCAGGUGACAAACGACCCGAAGGUAGAUACCAGGGGAGUUUUGAUGA